RNAcentral lists this ribosomal RNA (108 nucleotides) under Bacteroides ovatus. Lineage: Bacteria; Pseudomonadati; Bacteroidota; Bacteroidia; Bacteroidales; Bacteroidaceae. RNAcentral also lists the same sequence under 7 other names. The record is from RNAcentral.
GGUGGUUAUAGCACGAGGGUUCCACCUCUUCCCAUUCCGAACAGAGAAGUUAAGCCUCGUCACGCCGAUGGUACUGCGUAACAGUGGGAGAGUAGGUAGCCGCCGUUU